RNAcentral lists this ribosomal RNA (320 nucleotides) under uncultured Bacteroidota bacterium. RNAcentral describes it as "bacterial SSU rRNA". It matches the Rfam family "Bacterial small subunit ribosomal RNA", at positions 28 to 351 of the family's 1533-position model. The record is from RNAcentral. Lineage: Bacteria; Pseudomonadati; Bacteroidota.
GAUGAACGCUAGCGGCAGGCUUAACACAUGCAAGUCGAGGGGUAUAGUUCUUCGGAACUAGAGACCGGCGCACGGGUGCGUAACGCGUAUGCAAUCUACCUUUCACAGAGGGAUAGCCCAGAGAAAUUUGGAUUAAUACCUCAUAGUAUAAUUGAAUGGCAUCAUUUAAUUAUUAAAGUCACAACGGUGAAAGAUGAGCAUGCGUCCCAUUAGCUAGUUGGUAAGGUAACGGCUUACCAAGGCGACGAUGGGUAGGGGUCCUGAGAGGGAGAUCCCCCACACUGGUACUGAGACACGGACCAGACACCUACGGGUGGCUG